UUAAUGAUGAAAAGUGGUACCAGAAAGCAAAUUAUGUAGAAAACCUCUAUUACCACUUCUGCUGCCUUCCUUCUGAUAAU
This is a small nucleolar RNA of Hermetia illucens (black soldier fly), 80 nucleotides long. RefSeq annotates it as small nucleolar RNA U83. Lineage: Eukaryota; Metazoa; Arthropoda; Insecta; Diptera; Stratiomyidae. The transcript has a single exon. The record is from RefSeq and is a predicted model, not a curated record.